AAGCAGAGCCCUUGAAUGUUAAAGCCGCGAAUGGCUCAUUACAACAGCCACAGUUUAUUGGGUCUCCAUUUACUUGGAUAACUGAGCUAAUUGUUGAGCUAAUACACGCACCAAAGCUUCGACCUCACGGGAGGAGCGCAUUUAUUAGAACAAAACCAAUCGGACUUCGGUCCGUCCAUUGGUGAAUCUAAAUAACUUAGCCGAUCGCAUGGUCUCGCACCGGCGACUCACCUUUCAAAUGUCUGCCUUAUCACCUUUCGAUGGUAGUUUAUACGCCUACCAUGGGUUUUACGGGUAACGGAGAAUAAGGGUUCGACUCCGGAGAGGGAGCCUGAGAAACGGCUACCACAUCCAAGGAAGGCAGCAGGCACGCAAAUUACCCACUCCCGGCACGGGGAGGUAGUGACGAAAAAUAACGAGGCGGUUCUCUAUGAGGCCCGCCAUCGGAAUGGGUACAAUAUACA
This 464-nucleotide ribosomal RNA is filed under the name unidentified nematode Sourhope farm. RNAcentral's name for it is "SSU rRNA". It matches the Rfam family "Eukaryotic small subunit ribosomal RNA", at positions 61 to 529 of the family's 1831-position model. Lineage: Eukaryota; Metazoa; Nematoda. The record is from RNAcentral.